GACGAACGCUGGCGGCGUGCUUAACACAUGCAAGUCGAACGGAAAGGCCCUGCUUUUGUGGGGUGCUCGAGUGGCGAACGGGUGAGUAACACGUGAGUAACCUGCCCUUGACUUUGGGAUAACUUCAGGAAACUGGGGCUAAUACCGGAUAGGAGCUCCUGCUGCAUGGUGGGGGUUGGAAAGUUUCGGCGGGUGGGGAUGGACUCGCGGCUUAUCAGCUUGUUGGUGGGGUAGUGGCUUACCAAGGCUUUGACGGGUAGCCGGCCUGAGAGGGUGACCGGCCACAUUGGGACUGAGAUACGGCCCAGACUCCUACGGGAGGCAGCAGUGGGGAAUAUUGCACAAUGGGCGGAAGCCUGAUGCAGCAACGCCGCGCGCGGGAUGACGGCCUUCGGGUUGUAAACCGCUUUCGCCUGUGACGAAGCGUGAGUGACGGUAAUGGGUAAAGAAGCACCGGCUAACUACGUG
This 468-nucleotide ribosomal RNA is filed under the name uncultured bacterium. Its description in RNAcentral is "partial 16S ribosomal RNA". It matches the Rfam family "Bacterial small subunit ribosomal RNA", at positions 28 to 507 of the family's 1533-position model. The record is from RNAcentral.